GACGAACGCUGGCGGCGUGCUUAACACAUGCAAGUCGAACGGAAAGGCCCUGCUUUUGUGGGGUUCUCGAGUGGCGAACGGGUGAGUAACACGUGAGUAACCUGCCCUUGACUUUGGGGUAACUUCAGGAAACUGGGGCGAAUACCGGAUAGGAGCUCCUGCUGCAUGGUGGGGGUUGGAAAGUUUCGGCGGUUGGGGAUGGACUCGCGGCUUAUCAGCUUGAUGGUGGGGUAGGGGCUUACCAAGGCUUUGACGGGUAGCCGGCCUGGGAGGGUGACCGGCGACCUUGGGACUGAGAUAGGGCCCAGACUGCUACGGGCGGCAGCAGUGGGGAAUAUUGCACAGUGGGCGGACGCCUGAUGCAGCAACGCCGCGUGCGGGAUGACGUCUUUCGGGUUGUAAACAGAUUUCGCAUGUGCCGAAGAGUGCGUGACGGUAAUGGGUAAAGAAGCACCGGCUAACUACGUG
This 468-nucleotide ribosomal RNA is filed under the name uncultured bacterium. Its description in RNAcentral is "partial 16S ribosomal RNA". It matches the Rfam family "Bacterial small subunit ribosomal RNA", at positions 28 to 507 of the family's 1533-position model. The record is from RNAcentral.